RNAcentral lists this long non-coding RNA (953 nucleotides) under Parus major (Great Tit). RNAcentral describes it as "lncRNA (ENSPMJG00000004329.1)". Lineage: Eukaryota; Metazoa; Chordata; Aves; Passeriformes; Paridae. The record is from RNAcentral.
UGGAUUUCCUUUCCCAAAUUCCAUAAAAAUCCCUCGGGAUGGAUCCUGAGCCUCCUGGAUCCCGGAAUUCCUUGGGAUGGGAUCCCAGGGUCCAGUUUGGGAUUGGUGGGAAUGGGAUGGGAUUGGGAAUUUCCCAAUUUUUAUGGAAUUUGGGAAAGGAAAUCCAGGGAUUUUCUGGGAUUUGGGGUUUUUUUUGGGAUACCCCAGGAAUUCCUUCCCAAAUCCCAAAUCCUUCCCAAUCCCAUCCCAAAAUUCCAUCCCAAUCCCAAAUCCCAUCUCAAUUCCACCCCAAUCCCUUCCCAAAUCCUUCCCAAUCCCACCCCAAUCCCAAAUCCCAUGGAUGAUCCCAUUCCCAUGGGAUGAUCCCAUUCCCUCAGGAUGAUCCCGUUCCCAGCUGAUCCCGUUCCCAUGGAUGAUCCCGUUCCCAUGGGAUGAUCCCGUUCCCAGCUGAUCCCGUUCCCAUGGAUGAUCCCGUUCCCAUGGGAUGAUCCCGUUCCCAGCCGAUCCCGUUCCCAUGGAUGAUCCCGUUCCCAUGGAUGAUCCCGUUCCCAUGGGAUGAUCCCGUUCCCAGCUGAUCCCGUUCCCAUGGAUGAUCCCGUUCCCAUGGGAUGAUCCCGUUCCCAGCUGAUCCCGUUCCCAUGGGAUGAUCCCGUUCCCAUGGAUGAUCCCGUUCCCAUGGGAUGAUCCCGUUCCCAGCCGAUCCCGUUCUCGUUCCCGGGUGUGUCCGGGUGUGUCCGGGCGCGGGGUCCGAAGGUCCCGGCCGAUCCCGUUCCCGGUUAAUGAUUUCCCCGGAAAUCCUCGGGAUCGAGCUACGGGAAUCUGCGGGACUUGGAGAACCCCAAAUGGGGAAAAACUGAACCCCCAAAAACCCCAAAUGGGGAAAAACUGAACCCAAAAAUCCCAAAUGGGGAAAAACUGAACCCAAAAACCCCAAAUGGGGAAAAACUGAACCC